RNAcentral lists this ribosomal RNA (229 nucleotides) under uncultured bacterium. RNAcentral's name for it is "partial 16S ribosomal RNA". It matches the Rfam family "Bacterial small subunit ribosomal RNA", at positions 568 to 796 of the family's 1533-position model. The record is from RNAcentral.
UGCGUAGGCGGAUCAAUAAGUCAGUGGUGAAAUCUCUCGGCUCAACCGGGAAACUGCCAUUGAUACUGUUGAUCUUGAGUUCGGUUGAGGUAGGCGGAAUGUGUAAUGUAGCGGUGAAAUGCUUAGAUAUUACACAGAACACCAAUUGCAUAGGCAGCUUACUAGACCGACACUGACGCUGAGGCACGAAAGCGUGGGGAGCGAACAGGAUUAGAUACCCUGGUAGUCC